CUAACGGUCAAAAUGACCGCUUGUGGCAGUUCUAGUAGUUAUGGAAUUCUGGCACUUCUAGUGUUAACUUCAUUCUUUCAGAUGUAGAUGUUCUAAUGGUUUACAAUGACAUGUUCUCCAGUGAUUGCUAGAUCAAGUAAAGCAUGUCAUUUCAAUUA
Molecule: long non-coding RNA, 158 nt
Organism: Rhinichthys klamathensis goyatoka
Lineage: Eukaryota; Metazoa; Chordata; Actinopteri; Cypriniformes; Leuciscidae
Exons: 2
Source: RefSeq, a predicted model, not a curated record